UAUGGGGUAGAGCGGCUUGGUAACUCGUAAAACUCAUAACCUUGAGGUCACGGGUUCAAAUCCUAUCUCCGUAA
This is a non-coding RNA of Dovyalis caffra, 74 nucleotides long. Lineage: Eukaryota; Viridiplantae; Streptophyta; Magnoliopsida; Malpighiales; Salicaceae. The record is from the annotation of a GenBank genome assembly.